CACCAUAUGGAGAGUUGAGGCUUUGGGGUAUUUGGUAAGACCAGAGAACAGAGAUAUAGAGACGACACGCAGAAAGGGGGAUUUGAAAAGAUGGCAACACCAGCAGCUUCGUCCGCGGCAGAAGCUCCAAAGAUUGUGUGGAACGAAGCCAAGCGAAGGUUCGAAUCGGAGGACCAGAAGGCGUACAUAGAGUAUGUGCUCAGGGAAAAUGGAAAAGUGAUGGACUUGGUGCACACCUUCGUCCCAUCUUCCAAGAGAGGCUUGGGCUUGGCUUCCCAUCUCUGCGUCGCGGCCUUCAACCACGCCAAGUCCAAUUCCAUCUCUGUCAUCCCCACCUGCUCUUACGUCUCUGUCAGUAAACUACCUUCUCUCUCUCUCUCUCUCUCUCUCUCUCUCUCUCUCUCUCUCGGUUUCUCUCAAAAUUUGAUCUUUAUGGAUUAACUUUGAUUUUUAUUUUUUUUGGGUUUUCUAAUCUGAUUCAUUUCUGGGUCCUAGUGGUGAUUUUUGGCCCUGUUUGUUUCUAUUCACUAAGACUUUUUUCUCCAGAACUGGAAAUGGUUUGUUUCUGCCUUUUGUGUGUGCGUGCAUGUUGUAAUUUGCCUCAUUGGCCUAUGAGACUGUUUUUAUCUAUUGUUCAUUUUGAUGAUUAAUUCAUAGGGAAAACAAAUGUUUUUGUGGAGACUGUUGAAAAAGUACUCUCUGGUUUUGGGUCUUCCUCUCUUUUGUUUUCUAUUCUGGGUUGACAUAAUUUCUUUGUUUUCUUUUUUCUGUGUUGGCAGGACACUUUUCUCCCGCGGAACCCUUCCUGGAAUUCUGUUUUGUACUCAGGACCAGGAGAGAUGAAGUCUAGUAUAUGAUUUACUGCAGUUAUAGUUUAAUGGGAUUUAGUAAAAUGCUUGUAAGCCUGUAGCUGGGUGUUCUAUUUCAACUGGAAAAAAGUUUAUUUGCUUUACUAAUACGAUAUCAUUUACAAAUAAAUAUGCACCGUUGAUGUUAUG
Molecule: long non-coding RNA, 998 nt
Filed under: Prunus dulcis (almond)
Lineage: Eukaryota; Viridiplantae; Streptophyta; Magnoliopsida; Rosales; Rosaceae
Description: sRNA ncRNA
Source: RNAcentral